CCUACGGGUGGCAGCAGUGAGGAAUAUUGGUCAAUGGCCGGAAGGCUGAACCAGCCAUGCCGCGUGAAGGUCAGUGCCCUAUGGGCGUUAAACUUCUUUUGUGCGGGAGCAAUAAUGGUCACGUGUGGCCAGACGAGAGUACCGUACGAAUAAGCAUCGGCCAACUCCGUGCCAGCAGACGCGGUAAUACGGGGGAUGCAAGCGUUAUCCGGAUUAAUUGGGUUUAAAGGGUGCGUAGGCUGGGAGGUAAGUCAGCGUUGAAAUGCCCCCGCUCAACGGGGUGAAGUGCCAUUGAUACUGCCUUGCUGGAAUGCGGAUGCCGUGGGAGGAAGGUGUGGUGUAGCGGUGAAAUGCAUAGAGAUCACACAGAACACCGAUUGCGAAGGCAUCUCACGAAUCCGCGAUUGACGCUGAUGCACGAAAGCGUGGGUAUCAAACAGGAUUAGAUACCCCUGUAGUC
Molecule: ribosomal RNA, 460 nt
Filed under: uncultured bacterium
Lineage: Bacteria
Description: partial 16S ribosomal RNA
Rfam family: Bacterial small subunit ribosomal RNA
Source: RNAcentral